This 418-nucleotide ribosomal RNA is filed under the name Listeria monocytogenes. RNAcentral describes it as "partial 23S ribosomal RNA". It matches the Rfam family "Bacterial large subunit ribosomal RNA", at positions 683 to 1097 of the family's 2925-position model. Lineage: Bacteria; Bacillati; Bacillota; Bacilli; Caryophanales; Listeriaceae. The record is from RNAcentral.
CUGAAUAGGGCGCAUAAGUAACAGGUCGUAGACCCGAAACCAGGUGAUCUACCCAUGUCCAGGAUGAAGGUAAGGUAAUACUUACUGGAGGUCCGAACCCACGCACGUUGAAAAGUGCGGGGAUGAGGUGUGGGUAGCGGAGAAAUUCCAAUCGAACUUGGAGAUAGCUGGUUCUCUCCGAAAUAGCUUUAGGGCUAGCCUCGAGGUAAAGAGUCAUGGAGGUAGAGCACUGUUUGGACUAGGGGCCCUUCUCGGGUUACCGAAUUCAGAUAAACUCCGAAUGCCAUGUACUUAUACUCGGGAGUCAGACUGCGAGUGAUAAGAUCCGUAGUCGAAAGGGAAACAGCCCAGACCACCAGUUAAGGUCCCCAAAUAUAUGUUAAGUGGAAAAGGAUGUGGGGUUGCUUAGACAACCAGG